RNAcentral lists this ribosomal RNA (463 nucleotides) under uncultured bacterium. RNAcentral describes it as "partial 16S ribosomal RNA". It matches the Rfam family "Bacterial small subunit ribosomal RNA", at positions 28 to 507 of the family's 1533-position model. The record is from RNAcentral.
GACGAACGCUGGCGGCGUGCUUAACACAUGCAAGUCGAACGGUAAGGCCCUUCGGGGUACACGAGUGGCGAACGGGUGAGUAACGCGUGAGUAACCUGCCCUUCACUCUGGGAUAACAGUUGGAAACGGCUGCUAAUACCGGAUAUUCAGCUCCUGUCGCAUGGUGGGGGUUGGAAAGUUUUGGUGGUGGAGGAUGGGCUCGCGUCCUAUCAGCUUGUUGGUGGGGUGAUGGCCUACCAAGGCGUCGACGGGUAGCCGGCCUGAGAGGGCGACCGGCCACAUUGGGACUGAGAUACGGCCCAAACUCCUACGGGAGGCAGCAGUGGGGAAUAUUGCACAAUGGGCGGAAGCCUGAUGCAGCAACGCCGCGUGCGGGAUGACGGCCUUCGGGUUGUAAACCGCCUUCAGCAGGGACGAAGCGCAAGUGACGGUACCUGCAGAAGAAGCACCGGCUAACUACGUG